This 253-nucleotide ribosomal RNA is filed under the name uncultured bacterium. RNAcentral describes it as "partial 16S ribosomal RNA". It matches the Rfam family "Bacterial small subunit ribosomal RNA", at positions 524 to 776 of the family's 1533-position model. The record is from RNAcentral.
UACGUAGGGUGCAAACGUUGUCCGGAAUUAUUGGGCGUAAAGAGCUCGUAGGCGGUUUGUUGCGUCGGCUGUGAAAUCCCGAGGCUCAACCUCGGGUCUGCAGUCGAUACGAGCAAACUAGAGUGUUGCAGGGGAGACUGGAAUUCCUGGUGUAGCGGUGAAAUGCGCAGAUAUCAGGAGGAACACCGGUGGCGAAGGCGGGUCUCUGGGCAACAACUGACGCUGAGGAGCGAAAGCGUGGGGAGCGAACAGG